This 170-nucleotide ribosomal RNA is filed under the name uncultured bacterium. RNAcentral describes it as "partial 16S ribosomal RNA". It matches the Rfam family "Bacterial small subunit ribosomal RNA", at positions 338 to 524 of the family's 1533-position model. The record is from RNAcentral.
CCUACGGGAGGCAGCAGUGAGGAAUAUUGCACAAUGGGAGGAAACUCUGAUGCAGCAACGCCGCGUGGAGGAUGACGCAUUUCGGUGUGUAAACUCCUUUUAUUAGGGAAGAUAAUGACGGUACCUAAUGAAUAAGCACCGGCUAACUCCGUGCCAGCAGCCGCGGUAAU